GACGAACGCUGGCGGCGUGCUUAACACAUGCAAGUCGAACGGAAAGGCCCUGCUUUUGUGGGGUGCUCGAGGUGCGAACGGGUGAGUAACACGUGAGUAACCUGCCCUUGACUUUGGGAUAUCUUCAGGAAACUGGGGCUAAUACCGGAUAUGAGCUCCUGCUGCAUGGUGGGGGUUGGAAAGUUUCGGCGGUUGGGGAUGGACUCGCGGCUUAUCAGCUUGUUGGUGGGGUAGUGGCUGACCAAGGCUUUGACGGGUAGCCGGCCUGAGAGGGUGACCGGCCACAUUGGGACUGAGCUACGGCCCAGAAUCCUACGGGAGGCAGCAGUGGGGAAUAUUGCACAGUGGGCGGAAGCCUGAGGCGGCAACGCCGCGUGCGGGAUGACGGCCUUCGGGUUAUAAACCGCUUUCGCCUGUGACGAAGCGUGAGUGACGGUAAUGGGUAAAGAAGCACCGGCUAACUACGUG
This 468-nucleotide ribosomal RNA is filed under the name uncultured bacterium. Its description in RNAcentral is "partial 16S ribosomal RNA". It matches the Rfam family "Bacterial small subunit ribosomal RNA", at positions 28 to 507 of the family's 1533-position model. The record is from RNAcentral.